This 94-nucleotide transfer RNA is filed under the name Entomortierella chlamydospora. RNAcentral describes it as "tRNA-Ile". The record is from RNAcentral. Lineage: Eukaryota; Fungi; Mortierellomycota; Mortierellomycetes; Mortierellales; Mortierellaceae. RNAcentral also lists the same sequence under 4 other names.
UCCCCAGUGGCCAAGUCGGCAAGGCACUGUGCUUAUAUUUUCAGAAUAUACCAAAGACACGCAGCAAUCCCGAGUUCGAUCCUCGGCUGGGGAA